GUGUAGUAGUAAGUGUAAUAGAAUAGAAAUAAUGUUCACCUGCAUAAUGCAUCAUUUCAGUUUAUGUAAUAUGAGUACAGGUGAUUGCAGCACAACAGCAACAUAGGUCAGAAAGAGGAAGUGCAUGUCCUCACGUGACUUCCGCCCAUCCCAUUUCCGCAUGCGAGAGCCAAGAAAAACCAGGACGCACGUGGACUUACUUCGAAGGACACUCGACGUAUUUCGAUGUUCAAAUUGAACAUCUUCCCACAUCUACAAAGGACAGCCCUCCUGACAGAGACACACAUUAACAACAACCAGAAGAAGCUGAAGAAAGCCAGAGUGGAAUCAUCACCUGAAGAAGUCUUCACAACUUUUUACAGGGACAUGCUGCAGGAGCAUCCUCAGACCCUUCUGACCAUGACUGAAACACUUUUUUCUGAAACUGGACCAAAUGCCGACCUGGGAUUUAUCAAAUGGCUGAAGGACACUGAAAAUAGGAACACCUACAUUGCAGGAGUCGCCAGUCACUUACCAAAUAUCCCUGAGACAAUUCUACCAAUAGAAGUUCAUAGGUUACGUGCAGUUCUCUGCACAAUGAAAGACGUGCCAAAUGAGCAGGCACUAGAUAUUAUUGACAAACUACUGGAUCGGUUUUCCAAAAAAGAGAGACAUGAGAAGACAUGGAAGGCUGUACUGAAAACACUCUAUGUGAUAAUGCAGAAAACUAAAUGCAUGAAUGGCUGGGAUCUUAAGUUUGUUGAGAAGUUAUGCAAGACAAUUGUUCAUUUUGUGCAGGACCAACACCCCUUUAAAUUUCGAGUCUACACCUACGGUAUAUUUGCAAACUUGCUUUCAGUUGAACAUGCAGCGAGCAUCAUUACAUCAGUGGGAGUAACUUCAGUGCCUGAGGACAUACUGACAUAUGCAGAUAUGAAAAUGAAUGACAAGCUGAAAGAACUGCUCAAACAACUGAAAAAGCAUUUCUUGGAAUGUGAGGACUGUACAGCUGAAACCAAGAAGAAGAUGGAAAAGGCAGAAAACCCAAACAAUGACAUUUUCCCUGCAACUGAUCAAUUAUCCGUUCCUAUAAUGGAGUCCGCUUCAAAUGUGAAGCCAUUUAACCUCAAACCAACUGAAUCAGUAAUAAAAUACAAAUGGAAACAAAAAAGCAAGAGGUGGAGAGACAAAUUUAUGAAGCUUCACAGUAGUGAGGAAAGUGUAGUGACCAGAAUAAGGAGCAUGUUUUAUAUAAAUAAUCCAGAAUUCUGCAUAGCGAAGAAGAGUGAUGGGACUGAAGUCUACUUAGGGCUGAAAAAGGAUGGAACUGAACUUGCAAUUAAAAAAGUGCCCAAAUCCAACUCAAAUCAAGUGCUGAAUGAGGAGGGAAUUCUACGACUUUCAGGGCUUUUUGAUGCACCUAUUGUGCGAUACAAUGACUAUGAAGAGGAUGAGAAGUUUAUCUAUCUUGCUCUUCAUCUCUGUGAAUACACUUUAGAAGAAUACAUCAAACUAAAGGAUGUAGAUCAAAAGAAACUGGUCUUUCAGAUGCUCGAUGGUUUAAAGGCGCUUCACUGUCAGAAUCCUCCAAUUUUCCACGGGCAUCUCAAACCACAGAACACUUUGAUUGAUGUUAACAGGAAAGCGAGAUUAGCUGGUUUUGGCAAAAGUAGACGAUUACCCACAGGAAAAACAACUUUGCCCACUGGCAGUGUUGAAACUAAGGAGGCUGACAUAAAGAUGGCAGGUAUGCUGAUUUAUUACAUCUACACUGGAGGAGACCAACCUUUCGGUGUUGUACCCUGUGACAACAUUCAUAAAGGGACGUACAAUUUGGACGACGUUAAAGAUGCGUUGGCAAAGGACCUCAUCAAGAUGAUGAUUGAUGCAGAACCACAGAAAAGACCAAAAGUGGAAGAAUGCUUGAAUCAUCCCUUGUUCUGGUCCACGGAAAGGAGAGUUAACUACUUGAAAGAGGUUGGAAACAGAAAGGAGGUGGAAGACUGUAGAAAACCGAUAAAAGACGAUAAAUUAAUUUCUUCAAUGAACGAAUGUGUUGGAAAAGGAUCCUUUACAGAGUGGGAGGAAGAGGUGACUGCAUCUUAACUAUUGUGUAUACUGUAUAUAUAGUGCAUAUAUGUGUAUAUAGAUAUAUAUUAAUGUUUGGCAUUACAGUUUCCACGCGAGUUGGUUACGAAGUUGCAGAACUGGAGGAAGACAGGCUACCCUAAAAACAUGCUGGGAUUACUGCGCUUCAUACGAAACGUCUAUCAGCACCAUUUUAAAGACGCGGCCAAACUUGAUCCGGUGUCAAUGUUUCCUCGUCUCUUUGAAUGUGCCUAUAUGUUUGCCAAAAGCCAAGGAUGGAAUUCAGAGCCACUUCUGAAGCAAAUGUUUAUACCAAGCGAUGACUCCACUGCCAGUGACGCAGAGACGGCCACAAGCUCUGAUGACCCUCUCAAGAUGUCUUUUCAAGAUACUCACCAUCCUAGUCAUUAUAGAUAGCUUGCCAUUGAUGUUUCUUUAACAUAAACAGACACAGUGUCUCCAGACUAGAAUAUGUUGACAAUAACACCUCCAUGGGUAAAAACAUUCUCUUUGACUAGUUCUGGGCGUAUAUUAUUUGGGUGUUAUCUUGGGGUUUAAAGUCGAUCCACCAGCAUGAGUUCUGCAGAAUGUGAGACCGACUCAGGCACUUCUGAUGUACUUUGAUUCUCCUUGAUCAAGC
Larimichthys crocea (large yellow croaker) is the source of this 2707-nucleotide RNA transcript. It is a transcript of the gene named probable serine/threonine-protein kinase ireA, with no coding region annotated. The transcript is spliced from 6 exons. Lineage: Eukaryota; Metazoa; Chordata; Actinopteri; Sciaenidae. The record is from RefSeq and is a predicted model, not a curated record.